UAGCGUAAUAUCUAAAACAAUACCGAACCAGCCAAGCCACAAAUGUAUUCAAAGUUCAAAAGAAAUCAUGAGAAAAAAUAUUCCAAAACAAAAAAAAUCAAAAAAACCAAAUAAAAAAAUAAAAAAAAAUAUGAUAAUAAAAAAUAAAUAAAUAAAUAAUCGAGCGCACGUGUAAAAAUUUUGAGUAAUAAAAUUUAAUUUAAUUUAAAUAUCAAAUAACAACAACAACAACAACAAACAAGAUGUGUUAAAAUUCGUAAAGUAAUCAAAAAAAUAUCGUAAGAAAUGCAAGAAGCAAUAAAGAAAGGCACACACGCACACAGUUACAUAUGCACACAUGCAACACGAAUGCGGGGGGUAAGCAUGUGUGGUGUGUGUGCAAGAAAGAAGUAAGGAUACUGUGGCCAAGAGAAGAGCAGUAGGAAACAGAAACAGGAAGCAAUACACCGCAACAGCGGGCUAAUAAUGCGACCAGCGUUGUGUCUUCAAGAACUGCAUUAACACAGUGUAUACUGGUUGGGCGAGGGGCAACAGCAACACACCGCAUGCAGAUGAUGAUGAAAUACCGCUUGAGACCACAUGUACAUACCUAUACUUAUAUAUGUAUAUACAAACGCACUCUUAAUGGCAAUCGAAUGCGCAAUUAUAACAACAACAAAUAGUUUACAGAAAAAAAAAUAAAUGAAAACUAUCAAUCGAAUGUUGCAGUGAAAGAACAGUGACUUCAAACGCUGAAAAAUGAAGAAUGAGUCGUACAAACAAUACAAACAAAAUAUGCAACAAAUUAAAUAAACACACACAUACACACAUACAUAUGUAUAUAUGCACUGUACUGCCUUAUAGGGUUGCAGAGAAAAGUAAUUUACAGUGGAAAUGACACGUUUGUGUUUUAUCCCUUGCUUUAAAUUAUAUUUACAAAUGUGACUAAUGCAGCAGUUUAAAUAAAUAUUGGACGCGGAAGGAAAUAACAAGAUGUUGGUUCAGAAUAUCUGUUUAAAUGAAAUAUUUAAAUAUGAAAAUGAAAUAUGAAAUAGAAAUAUUUUUUUGAUGUGGAAAUUUAUUGAAAAAAAAAUUAUUAAAACAAUUA
Long non-coding RNA from Zeugodacus cucurbitae (melon fly), 1087 nucleotides. RefSeq lists it as uncharacterized. The record is from RefSeq and is a predicted model, not a curated record. Lineage: Eukaryota; Metazoa; Arthropoda; Insecta; Diptera; Tephritidae. The transcript has 3 exons.